CUACGGGUCGCACCAGUGGGGAAUAUUGGACAAUGGGGGAAACCCUGAUCCAGCAAUGCCGCGUGUGUGAAGAAGGCCUGCGGGUUGUAAAGCACUUUCGGUUGGGAGGACUGCUUCUAGCACUAAUAUUGUUGGAAGUUGACGUUACCUUCAGAAGAAGCACCGGCUAACUCCGGUGCCAGCGGCCGCGGUAAUACGGAGGGUGCAAGCGUUAAUCGGAAUUACUGGGCGUAAAGCGCGCGUAGGCGGCUAGAUCAGUCGGGUGUGAAAGCCCCGGGCUUAACCUGGGAACUGCAUCCGAUACUGUCUAGCUCGAGUACAGGAGAGGAGAGUGGAAUUCCACAUGUAGCGGUGAAAUGCGUAGAUAUGUGGAGGAACACCAAUGGCGAAGGCAGCUCUCUGGCCUGAUACUGACGCUGAGGUGCGAAAGCGUGGGGAGCAAACAGGAUUAGAUACCCCUGUAGUC
Molecule: ribosomal RNA, 466 nt
Filed under: uncultured bacterium
Lineage: Bacteria
Description: partial 16S ribosomal RNA
Rfam family: Bacterial small subunit ribosomal RNA
Source: RNAcentral